CCUGGCAGGGAAUUAGGGGGAAGUUUGAGCAGGGCAGCACAGAGUUUCCAUUUGGAAGUUUUAGAAAGAUGGGAUGCAAGGAAGCCAGGAUGAUGGGUGAGGACCUAGGAGAGGAGGAAUGUUGCCACCCAGAGAAUGUGGAGAAAGAGAUGGAUGACUCAGCUCCAAGGAUGCCAGCAUCUGACCGUGGUGCUUCUGUCCUACGACUCAUCUACCAGCAAAGCCCUCACUGUGCCUAGGCUCCGAGCUGAGCGGCUGAGUGUGAAUUCUCCGAGAUGUCCCGACCCCAGAGGACAGAGCUCCCGUGAUCAGGAGGAGAAAGCUGGGGCCCUGUCGGGGCUGACUCUGGUGCCAAGCUACCAGGGAUAUCGCCAAGGCUGAAGGCUGCAGAGGGGCUAAAAGUGACAGCGUGGCUUCACCUGGCCUGAUUCCACCGUGAAACUUUGACCCUCCCGUCUUGGCAACAGACGCAAGGGCCAGAAGCAGCUCCUCUCAUGCGUGAACAGCUGCCCUUGGAGUGCGCUGACCUGCGUUCUUCCCAGCCUCUUGAGGACCCUACCUCUUCUAAGAGCCACAGGCC
Molecule: non-coding RNA, 580 nt
Organism: Peromyscus maniculatus bairdii (prairie deer mouse)
Lineage: Eukaryota; Metazoa; Chordata; Mammalia; Rodentia; Cricetidae
Source: RefSeq, a predicted model, not a curated record